Non-coding RNA from Podarcis lilfordi (Lilford's wall lizard), 97 nucleotides. Lineage: Eukaryota; Metazoa; Chordata; Lepidosauria; Squamata; Lacertidae. The record is from the annotation of a GenBank genome assembly.
UUUCUCUUUCUCUUUCUCUUUCUCUCUCUCUCUCUCUCUGUGUGUGUGUGUGUGUGUGUGAGAGAGAGAGAGAGAGAGAGAGAGAGAGAGAGAGAAA